UGGUUUAUACAAUCAUCAACUCCUUUUUCAUUCACUUUUAUUUUUUCAAAUAUAAAAGGCAUGUAAAUCUACUCAUUGGUCUUCAACUUUUUAUCUCCUAAACACACCUAAAACCCUAUCCUAGUUCCUAUCUCCUUCCCACUCAACUUCUUCACUUUAAUUUUUUUCGCUCCUUCACCUUUUAUUCUUAUUCUUCUUCUCAUUUCCAUUAUAGAAAUAAAUACAAAAGCAAAACAAAAGAAGCAAAAAUGAAAGAUAGAAAUGAAAGGUGAAGAAGUGAAGAGAACUAAGAUAAAGAAGAUGAAGAGGAAGGAGAGAGGAAUCAGGGUUCGAGAGACAAAGAAGAUCAUAAGCUAUGAGUGUGUGUCUUUAUAUAUGAAUAUAUUGAGGAAAGGAAAAAAAAAAGAAGUAUAAAGGGAUGGAAGGAGACUACAAAAAGAAGUCCUCUUCUAGAAAAUCGGCUCUUACCUGUUAAAGGUGCCCUUCAAACAUUUAAUAUAACUUAAAAUUGUAUUUACCAUUAAUUUUACUAGUUUUCAUUAUAGUUUCAUUUCAAACUAUUCUUUUUUUCAUGUCUAAGCCUACAUAGUUGUCUUAACAAUCCUUAAUAUUUGAAAUUGUAUGGGUCAUAAUGUUUAAAAAUUAUUAAAGAAAAAGUCAUCCUAAAAUUCUUUUUAUAUAAGAACUUCUUAAACAUUGUAUACAGUGGGCCACCCCAUUAACCCAUCUAUUUACAAACAAGUCCAAAAUGGUUC
Molecule: long non-coding RNA, 755 nt
Filed under: Vitis vinifera (wine grape)
Lineage: Eukaryota; Viridiplantae; Streptophyta; Magnoliopsida; Vitales; Vitaceae
Description: long non-coding RNA (VVIN_LNC006318)
Source: RNAcentral